RNAcentral lists this long non-coding RNA (1064 nucleotides) under Homo sapiens (human). RNAcentral's name for it is "HSALNT0092551". Lineage: Eukaryota; Metazoa; Chordata; Mammalia; Primates; Hominidae. The record is from RNAcentral.
CUGCUGUAGACUUUUAGCUUCUUCAUUUUUUUUUUUCCUUUAAAUAGAACCAAUUAACUCUUACUUGAAUUUUCCAAAUACAUGAGGUUUCACUACCAUUUUGGAGGAAUGGAGCCAGCGUUUUGAUUGUCACACAUAGACUUUCACUAAUGUAUUUUUCCUCAAAGGCAACUAGAUAUUCAUGUUACUAUUGCUUUUCCUUAGAAACAGAAGUCUCCCGAUCAUAAUUACAGGCUUUGAGCAAAGGCAACAGUAGUGAAGAAACCCGGAGCUCUGUAAACAUUACUGAAGAACCAUGCCAAAUAUAUGCAUAAAUUCAGGUGGCUUAUUAUUACAUCUUGAAAGGACUGGAUAUCUGAGCACUGUCUGACAUUACUUUUGACUUCACUGGAGGUAACCUAGAAGGAGAGAGAUGUCUCAGCAGUUUCUUUAUCAAUCGCCACCUUUGGAUUUAGCCUUCUGUGGUCAUUUUGAAUAGCAAGCAUCUGAGACAGCAAAGGUGGGCGCAACUGCCAAAACCACAACCCACGGUCAAAAGGAUCGUCAUCCAUUUGGGGGUGCUCUACGUGUAUGAAGUUAUUUAAUACUUAUAACAACUUUAUGAGAUGGAAUGAUCCAUUUUACCUGCAGAGAGUGCAAGGAUCAAGGAAAGGUUUGCGGCACUCUUGAAUUGAGCAAGAUCAUCAACACCAUUUUACUAACAGCAUGUGCUUACUUGGUGUCUCUGUGUCAUAUUUUAGUAAUUCUUGCAAUAUUUCAAACUUUUUCUAUAUUAUUGUAUCUGCUAUAGUUAUUUGUGAUAAGUGGCCUUCGAUGUUACUAUUGUAAUUGUUUUGUGGCAUCUCAAACUGUAUCCCUAAAAGAUGGCAAAUUUAAUCAAUAAAUGUGUGUCUUCUGACUGCUCUACCAACCAGCCAUUAUUCAAUCUCUUUCCCUGCCUUCAGGCCUCCCUAUUCUCUGUAUUGAAAUUAGGCCUCUAAGUGUUCAAGUGCAAGGAAGAGUCACACAGCUCUCACUUUAAAUCAACCUUGUCCAACCCACAGCCUGUGGGCUGCAUGCAGCCC